CCCGCACAAGCAGCGGAGCGUGUGGUUUAAUUCGAUGCAACGCGAAGAACCUUACCAAGGCUUGACAUGCCAGAAGUAGGAACUCGAAAGAGAGACCACCUGUAUCCAGUCAGGAACUGGCACAGGUGCUGCAUGGCUGUCGUCAGCUCGUGCCGUGAGGUGUUAGGUUAAGUCCUGCAACGAGCGCAACCCUCGUCGCUAGUUAAAUUUUCUAGCGAUACUGCCCGUAAAACGAGGAGGAAGGUGGGGAUGACGUCAAGUCAGCAUGGCCUUUAUGUCCUGGGCUACACACACGCUACAAUGGCCAACACAAUAGGUUGCUAAGCCGCGAGGUGGAGCCAAUCCAGCAAAACUUCCCUCAGUUCAGAUUGCAGGCUGCAACUCGCCUGCAUGAAGUUGGAGUUGCUAGUAAACGCAGGUCAGCCAUACUGCGUUGAAUACGUUCCCGGGGCUU
This 454-nucleotide ribosomal RNA is filed under the name uncultured Chloroflexota bacterium. Its description in RNAcentral is "bacterial SSU rRNA". It matches the Rfam family "Bacterial small subunit ribosomal RNA", at positions 920 to 1382 of the family's 1533-position model. The record is from RNAcentral. Lineage: Bacteria; Bacillati; Chloroflexota.